RNAcentral lists this ribosomal RNA (253 nucleotides) under uncultured bacterium. Its description in RNAcentral is "partial 16S ribosomal RNA". It matches the Rfam family "Bacterial small subunit ribosomal RNA", at positions 524 to 776 of the family's 1533-position model. The record is from RNAcentral.
GACGUAGGGCGCGAGCGUUGUCCGGAUUUAUUGGGCGUAAAGAGCUCGUAGGCGGCUCGUUGCGUCAACCGUGGAAACCCGGGGCUUAACUUCGGGCUUGCGGUUGAUACGGGCGGGCUGGAGUUCGGUAGGGGAGACUGGAAUUCCUGGUGUAGCGGUGAAAUGCGCAGAUAUCAGGAGGAACACCGGUGGCGAAGGCGGGUCUCUGGGCCGAUACUGACGCUGAGGAGCGAAAGCGUGGGGAGCGAACAGG